AUGGAAAGGCACUCGUCGCGGCUUGUUAGAGUGCUUGCGGUGGUUCCGAUAUUCUUGGUUUCACUUUUCUUCUUCAUCUCUAUUUUCCUACAAGUCACACACGAGCAGAGGGCACUGUGUUGCAUUGUUGUUGAUAGUUCCGUCGGUUUUUUCGGCGAUGUUCUCGCGGCAAAAGCUUCCUUAUGA
Vicia faba (fava bean) is the source of this 186-nucleotide non-coding RNA. NCBI's taxonomy places the organism in Eukaryota, Viridiplantae, Streptophyta, Magnoliopsida, Fabales, Fabaceae. The record is from the annotation of a GenBank genome assembly.